CGCUGGCGGCGUGCUUAACACAUGCAAGUGGAGCGACGAACCGGGGCUUGCCCCGGGGCAGAGCCGCGAACGGGUGAGUAACACGUGGGUAACCUGCCUCAAUGAUUGGGACAACCCGGGGAAACUCGGGCUAAUACCAAAUGUGUUCACUCCUUCUAAGGGGAGUGAGGAAAGGAAGCUUCGGCCUCCGCAUUGAGAUGGGCCCGCGGCCCAUUAGCUUGUUGGUGAGGUAACGGCUCACCAAGGCUUCGAUGGGUAGCUGGUCUGAGAGGACGAUCAGCCACACUGGGACUGAGACACGGCCCAGACUCCUACGGGAGGCAGCAGUGGGGAAUCUUGCACAAUGCGCGAAAGCGUGAUGCAGCAACGCCGCGUGGGGGAAGACGGCCUUCGGGUUGUAAACCCCUUUCAGUUGGGACGAAGCUUCGUCGGUGAAUAGCCGGUUGGAGUGACGGUACCUUCAGAAGAAGCCCCGGCUAACUACGUG
This 487-nucleotide ribosomal RNA is filed under the name uncultured bacterium. RNAcentral's name for it is "bacterial SSU rRNA". It matches the Rfam family "Bacterial small subunit ribosomal RNA", at positions 34 to 507 of the family's 1533-position model. The record is from RNAcentral.